RNAcentral lists this ribosomal RNA (440 nucleotides) under uncultured bacterium. RNAcentral's name for it is "partial 16S ribosomal RNA". It matches the Rfam family "Bacterial small subunit ribosomal RNA", at positions 338 to 795 of the family's 1533-position model. The record is from RNAcentral.
CCUACGGGUGGCAGCAGUAGGGAAUAUUGCUCAAUGGGGGAAACCCUGAAGCAGCAACGCCGCGUGGAGGAUGAAGGUUUUCGGAUUGUAAACUCCUUUUGUUAGAGAAGAUAAUGACGGUAUCUAACGAAUAAGCACCGGCUAACUCCGUGCCAGCAUCCGCGGUAAUACGGCGGGUGCAAGCGUUACUCUGAAUCACUGGGCGUAAAGAGCGCGUAGGCGGGAUAGCAAGUCAGAUGUGAAAUCCUAUGGCUUAACCAUUGAACUGCAUUUUAAAAUGGUAUUCUUGAGGAUGGGAGAGGUAGGUGGAAUUCGUGGUGGAGGGGGAAAAUCCGUAGAGAUCAAGAGGAAUACUGAUUGCGAAGGCGACCUGCUAGAACAUUACUGACGCUGAUGCGCGAAAGCGUGGGGAGCAAACAGGAUUAGAUACCCCUGUAGUC